GACGAACGCUGGCGGCGUGCUUAACACAUGCAAGUCGAACGGAAAGGCCCCUUUGGGGGUACUCGAGUGGCGAACGGGUGAGUAACACGUGCGUAACCUUCCCUUGACUUCGGGAUAACUUCAGGAACCUGGGGCUAAUACCGGAUAGGAAUCCUUGCUGCAUGGUGGGGGUUGGAAAGCUUCGGCGGUUUUGGAUGGACUCGCGGCUUAUCAGCUUGUUGGUGGGGUGGUGGCUUACCAAGGCUUUUACGGGUAGCCGGCCUGAGAGGGCGACCGGCCACAUUGGGACUGAGAGAAGGCCCAGACUCCGACGGGAGGGAGCAGGGGGGAAUAUUGAAGAAGGAGCGGAAGCCGGGUGAAGCAAGGCCGCGGGCGGGAUGACGGCCUUAGGGUUGAAAACCGCAUGCAGCAGGGGCGAAGCUUGUGGUGACGGUACCUGCAGAAGAAGCACCGGCUAACUACGUG
This 465-nucleotide ribosomal RNA is filed under the name uncultured bacterium. Its description in RNAcentral is "partial 16S ribosomal RNA". It matches the Rfam family "Bacterial small subunit ribosomal RNA", at positions 28 to 507 of the family's 1533-position model. The record is from RNAcentral.